RNAcentral lists this ribosomal RNA (253 nucleotides) under uncultured bacterium. Its description in RNAcentral is "partial 16S ribosomal RNA". It matches the Rfam family "Bacterial small subunit ribosomal RNA", at positions 524 to 776 of the family's 1533-position model. The record is from RNAcentral.
UACGGGGGGGGCAAGCGUUGUUCGGAAUUACUGGGCGUAAAGGGCUCGUAGGCGGCCAACUAAGUCGGAUGUGAAAUCCCCAGGCUUAACCUGGGAACGGCAUCCGAUACUGGAUGGCUUGAAUCCGGGAGAGGGAUGCGGAAUUCCAGGUGUAGCGGUGAAAUGCGUAGAUAUCUGGAGGAACACCGGUGGCGAAGGCGGCAUCCUGGACCGGCAUUGACGCUGAGGAGCGAAAGCCAGGGGAGCAAACGGG